RNAcentral lists this ribosomal RNA (430 nucleotides) under uncultured prokaryote. Its description in RNAcentral is "bacterial SSU rRNA". It matches the Rfam family "Bacterial small subunit ribosomal RNA", at positions 355 to 776 of the family's 1533-position model. The record is from RNAcentral. RNAcentral also lists the same sequence under 1 other name.
UGGGGAAUAUUGCGCAAUGGGGGAAACCCUGACGCAGCGACGCCGCGUGAGCGAAGAAGGCCUUAGGGUUGUAAAGCUCUGUUCUAUGGGACGAACGGCUGGAGCAGUAACACGGCUUCAGAAUGACGGUACCAUAGGAGGAAGCCCCGGCUAACUACGUGCCAGCAGCCGCGGUAAGACGUAGGGGGCGAGCGUUGUCCGGAAUUACUGGGCGUAAAGAGCACGUAGGCGGGUGUUUAAGUCAGGUGUGAAAUACCGGGGCUCAACUUCGGGGCUGCACCUGAAACUGGAUAUCUUGAGGGCAGGAGAGGGCAGUAGAAUUCCUGGUGUAGCGGUGAAAUGCGUAGAAAUCAGGAGGAAUACCAGUGGCGAAGGCGACUGUCUGGACUGACCCUGACGCUGAGGUGCGAAAGCGUGGGUAGCAAACAGG